This 489-nucleotide ribosomal RNA is filed under the name uncultured bacterium. Its description in RNAcentral is "partial 16S ribosomal RNA". It matches the Rfam family "Bacterial small subunit ribosomal RNA", at positions 30 to 507 of the family's 1533-position model. The record is from RNAcentral.
AUUGAACGCUGGCGGCAGGCCUAACACAUGCAAGUCGAACGGUAACAGGAAGAAGCUUGCUUCUUUGCUGACGAGUGGCGGACGGGUGAGUAAUGUCUGGGAAACUGCCUGAUGGAGGGGGAUAACUACUGGAAACGGUAGCUAAUACCGCAUAACGUCGCAAGACCAAAGAGGGGGACCUUCGGGCCUCUUGCCAUCGGAUGUGCCAGAUGGGAUUAGCUAGUAGGUGGGGUAACGGCUCACCUAGGCGACGAUCCCUAGCUGGUCUGAGAGGAUGACCAGCCACACUGGAACUGAGACACGGUCCAGACUCCUACGGGAGGCAGCAGUGGGGAAUAUUGCACAAUGGGCGCAAGCCUGAUGCAGCCAUGCCGCGUGUAUGAAGAAGGCCUUCGGGUUGUAAAGUACUUUCAGCGGGGAGGAAGGGAGUAAAGUUAAUACCUUUGCUCAUUGACGUUACCCGCAGAAGAAGCACCGGCUAACUCCGUG